This is a long non-coding RNA of Ipomoea triloba (trilobed morning glory), 442 nucleotides long. RefSeq lists it as uncharacterized. The transcript is spliced from 2 exons. The record is from RefSeq and is a predicted model, not a curated record. Lineage: Eukaryota; Viridiplantae; Streptophyta; Magnoliopsida; Solanales; Convolvulaceae.
UGCUCACUAUUGAGAAUAUUCUUUAUUUUGUUUUACAAGGUUCAUUGUUGGUUUCUUUCUUGGUGCCAUCCCCUGGUAUAUCGGAGCUUUUCUGCUUUUGUGUGUCCGAAUGGACUACAGAGAGAAGCCUGGACUUAUUGCGUGCACAUUAGCUGCUAUUCUCGCAAUGGUAGCUGUAACCCUCGGUGUGACAAAGGCAACUCAUUCCUGGUGAAAGGUGCCCGGGCUGCUUAAGUUUUAUACAUUCCCUUACCAUGAAGACGGAGAGCGAAAUCUCAGAGGGCAUGAAAUCUAAUAGUUUUGAGUCGGUAUUCAUCUUCUUUUAUCUGUAUAGCUGCUCUUAAUUGGAUCUGGAUUGGUAAUGUUAAUGCUUAUUUCUGUGCUCUUAAGAAUGAAAUGCACACUAGUCUUCUUUCCCUCAAUCCUUCAAUCAUUCAAUCAA